Molecule: ribosomal RNA, 418 nt
Filed under: bacterium
Lineage: Bacteria
Description: partial 16S ribosomal RNA
Rfam family: Bacterial small subunit ribosomal RNA
Source: RNAcentral
UGGGGAAUAUUGGACAAUGGGCGAAAGCCUGAUCCAGCCAUGCCGCGUGUGUGAAGAAGGCCUUUUGGUUGUAAACUUCUUUUGCUCUGAACAAGGCGCACCAUGGGGUGUGUUGAGUGUAGGGGUUGAUUAGCGCCGGCUAACUACGUGCCAGCAGCCGCGGAAUACGUAGGGCGCGAGCGUUGUCCGGAAUUAUUGGGCGUAAAGGGCUUGUAGGUGGCUGGUUGCGUCUGUCGUGAAAGCUCAUGGCUUAACUGUGGGUUUGCGGUGGGUACGGGCUGGCUUGAGUGCAGUAGGGGAGGCUGGAAUUCCUGGUGUAGCGGUGGAAUGCGCAGAUAUCAGGAGGAAUACCGGUGGCGAAGGCGGGUCUCUGGGCUGUUACUGACACUGAGGAGCGAAAGCAUGGGGAGCGAACAGG